CCCUGUAUUCGAAAGUGAUCGUGGGCUGCCUGUGUCCCGGUCAUUGGUAGUGCAGGGAGAGGAAUGGCUGAAAGACACUCUACCUGUAGAGUUUGGAGGGUUCCCUAUCCCUUCUGAACUCUGAAACUUUUCCACA
Small nucleolar RNA from Dipodomys ordii (Ord's kangaroo rat), 136 nucleotides. Its record names the gene SNORA71. It matches the Rfam family "Small nucleolar RNA SNORA71". From Rfam's summary of the family: The members of this family belong to the H/ACA class of snoRNAs which bind a number of proteins (including dyskerin, Gar1p and Nop10p) to form snoRNP complexes. This class of snoRNAs are thought to guide the sites of modification of uridines to pseudouridines by forming direct base pairing interactions with substrate RNAs. This family includes U71 (SNORA71), ACA39 (SNORA39) and ACA60 (SNORA60). The record is from Ensembl. Lineage: Eukaryota; Metazoa; Chordata; Mammalia; Rodentia; Heteromyidae.